AGCAGCCGCGGUAAUUCCAGCUCCAAUAGCGUAUAUUAAAGUUGUUGCAGUUAAAAAGCUCGUAGUUGAAUUUCGAGACCGGCUUAUUGGUCGUGCUUUUGUACGUACUGGUAAAUCGGUUUCUCCUUUCUGACGAACUUUAAUGCCAUUAAUUUGGUGUUUUAGGGAAUCAGGACUGUUACUUUGAAAAAAUUAGAGUGUUUAAAGCAGGCUCACGCUUGAAUACAUUAGCAUGGAAUAACGGAAUAGGACGUUUGAUUCUAUUUUGUUGGUUUCUAGGAUCGACGUAAUGAUUAAUAGGGAUAGUUGGGGGCAUUAGUAUUCAAUUGUCAGAGGUGAAAUUCUUGGAUUUAU
RNAcentral lists this ribosomal RNA (354 nucleotides) under uncultured Glomus. RNAcentral's name for it is "SSU rRNA". It matches the Rfam family "Eukaryotic small subunit ribosomal RNA", at positions 569 to 929 of the family's 1831-position model. Lineage: Eukaryota; Fungi; Glomeromycota; Glomeromycetes; Glomerales; Glomeraceae. The record is from RNAcentral.